Eurytemora carolleeae is the source of this 256-nucleotide long non-coding RNA. RefSeq lists it as uncharacterized. The record is from RefSeq and is a predicted model, not a curated record. The transcript is spliced from 5 exons. Lineage: Eukaryota; Metazoa; Arthropoda; Copepoda; Calanoida; Temoridae.
UGCAAUGUCUGGCCUCCUAUUGUUAAUAUACUCAACCAUUAUUCCAAGGCUGAUGUGCAGCAGAGAUCAAGCACUCCAGGUAGAAGCAGAGAAGAGAAUCUACAUAGAUGAUGAUGUUCAGAAGUAUUCAAGGACUCCCCAAUCUGUUGGAUACGGAGGAUUUGAAGGUUUCCCAGAAGUUGUGAAUCCUAUCCACUGGACUCGAAAAAUGGAAUUUGAGAAAGUUCUUGAGAUUUUAGAAGUUGUGAAUCCUAUC